RNAcentral lists this ribosomal RNA (809 nucleotides) under uncultured bacterium. RNAcentral's name for it is "bacterial SSU rRNA". It matches the Rfam family "Bacterial small subunit ribosomal RNA", at positions 61 to 880 of the family's 1533-position model. The record is from RNAcentral.
GUCGAACGGACUUAUACUGAAACCUAGUGAUUUAUGAGUUAGUGGCGGACGGGUGAGUAACGCGUGGAUAACCUGCCGUAUACCGGGGGAUAACACUUAGAAAUAGGUGCUAAUACCGCAUAAGCGCACGGCUCCGCAUGGGGCAGUGUGAAAAACUCCGGUGGUAUACGAUGGAUCCGCGUCUGAUUAGCUAGUUGGCGGGGUAACGGCCCACCAAGGCAGCGAUCAGUAGCCGGCCUGAGAGGGUGGACGGCCACAUUGGGACUGAGACACGGCCCAAACUCCUACGGGAGGCAGCAGUGGGGAAUAUUGCACAAUGGGGGAAACCCUGAUGCAGCGACGCCGCGUGAGUGAAGAAGUAUCUCGGUACGUAAAGCUCUAUCAGCAGGGAAGAAAAUGACGGUACCUGACUAAGAAGCCCCGGCUAACUACGUGCCAGCAGCCGCGGUAAUACGUAGGGGGCAAGCGUUAUCCGGAUUUACUGGGUGUAAAGGGAGCGUAGACGGCAGCACAAGUCUGGAGUGAAAUCCCGGGGCUUAACCCCGGAACUGCUUUGGAAACUGUGCGGCUGGAGUGCAGGAGGGGUAAGCGGAAUUCCUAGUGUAGCGGUGAAAUGCGUAGAUAUUAGGAGGAACACCGGUGGCGAAGGCGGCUUACUGGACUGUAACUGACGUUGAGGCUCGAAAGCGUGGGGAGCAAACAGGAUUAGAUACCCUGGUAGUCCACGCCGUAAACGAUGAUUACUAGGUGUCGGGGGAUCAAGGUCCUCCGGUGCCGGCGCAAACGCAUUAAGUAAUCCACCUGGGGAG